GGAGGAUAGUUUUACCACUUAUUGGAUUGUGGGGUAAGUAAAGACUGGGUGAUGUUGGCAAAUCCGCAUCACAUUAACCGGAACAUACGAUGCAUAGUGAAAGGGCAACCAAGUAGCGAAUUAAAUGAUUUCAUACCUCUUAAAAAAGCUUCUAGCUAUAAAUUCUGUGAAACCCGUACCGAGAACGGACACACGUCCCCAAGAUGAGUAUUCUAAGGCGAGCGAGAAAACCAAUGUCAAGGAACUCUGCAAAUUCAUCCCGUAAGUUCGCAAGAAGGGAUGCCCAUAGUAACAUAUGGGCCGCAGUGAAUAGUAAGGGGGAACUGUUUAUCAAAAACACAGCUCUAUGCUAAGUCGUAAGACGAUGUAUAUGGGGUGACUCCUGCCCAGUGCCCGAAGGUUAAGCAAAGGUGUUAGCGUAUGCGAAGCAUUGAUGUGAAGCCCGGGUGAACGGCGGCCGUAACUAUAACGGUCCUAAGGUAGCGAAAUUCCUUGUCGGCUAAAUACUGACCUGCACGAAAGGAGUAAUUAUCUCUUAACUGUCUCGACAUUGGACUCGGUGAAAUUAUGGUUGCGGCGAAGACGCCGCAUACCCGCAUCUAGACGAAAAGACCCCGUGGAGCUUUACUAUAACUUCAUAUUGGAGUUUGAAUUAACUUGUGUAGGAUAGGUGGGAGACUUUGAAGCAAGGACGCUAGUUCUUGUGGAGUCAUCGUUGAAAUACCACCCUUGUUACUUUGAACUUCUAACUUGUUACCAUCAUCUGGUAAGAGGACAGUGUGUGGUGGGUAGUUUGACUGGGGCGGUCGCCUCCCAAAAGGUAACGGAGGCGUUCAAAGUUACACUCAGUACGGUCAGAAACCGUAUUUAAGAGCAUAAAGGUAGAAGUGUGAUUGACUGUGAGACUUACAAGUCGAGCAGGUGCGAAAGCAGGACUUAGUGAUCCGGUGGUUCCGCAUGGAAGGGCCAUCGCUCAACGGAUAAAAGCUACCCUGGGGAUAACAGGCUUAUCUCCCCCAAGAGUUCACAUCGACGGGGAGGUUUGGCACCUCGAUGUCGGCUCGUCGCAUCCUGGGGCUGUAGUCGGUCCCAAGGGUUGGGCUGUUCGCCCAUUAAAGCGGCACGCGAGCUGGGUUCAGAACGUCGUGAGACAGUUCGGUCCCUAUCCGUCGCGGGCGUAGGUAAUUUGAGAGGAUCUGUCCUUAGUACGAGAGGACCGGGAUGGACUUACCGCUGGUGUACCAGUUGUUCCGCCAGGAGCACGGCUGGAUAGCUAUGUAGGGAAGGGAUAAGCGCUGAAAGCAUCUAAGUGCGAAGCCCACCUCAAGAUGAGAUUACCCAUUCGUAAGAAUUAAGAGCCCAGAGAGAUGAUCUGGUAGAUAGGCUGGAAGUGGAAGAGUUGCGAGACUUGGAGCGGACCAGUACUAAUCGCUCGAGGACUUUACC
Molecule: ribosomal RNA, 1446 nt
Filed under: human gut metagenome
Description: bacterial LSU rRNA
Rfam family: Bacterial large subunit ribosomal RNA
Source: RNAcentral